RNAcentral lists this ribosomal RNA (425 nucleotides) under uncultured bacterium. RNAcentral's name for it is "bacterial SSU rRNA". It matches the Rfam family "Bacterial small subunit ribosomal RNA", at positions 355 to 773 of the family's 1533-position model. The record is from RNAcentral.
UGGGGAAUCUUGCGCAAUGGGCGAAAGCCUGACGCAGCGACGCCGCGUGAGGGAGGAAGGCCUUCGGGUUGUAAACCUCUUUCAGGAGGGACGAAGCUACUCGGGUGAAUAGCCCAGAGGGUGACGGUACCUCCAGAAGAAGCCCCGGCUCACUACGUGCCAGCAGCCGCGGUAAUACGUAGGGGGCAAGCGUUGUCCGGAUUUACUGGGCGUAAAGCGCGUGUAGGCGGCCACGCAGGUCCGUUGUGAAAACUGGAGGCUCAACUUCCAGACGUCGACGGAAACCGUGUGGCUAGAGUCCGGAAGAGGAGAGUGGAAUUCCUGGUGUAGCGGUGAAAUGCGCAGAUAUCAGGAAGAACACCAAUGGCGAAGGCAGCUCUCUGGGACGGUACUGACGCUGAGACGCGAAAGCGUGGGGAGCGAAC